UGCCUACGGGCGGCUGCAGUCGAGAAUCUUCGUCAAUGGGCGAAAGCCUGAACGAGCGACGCCGCGUGUGGGAUGAAGGCCCUUGGGUUGUAAACCACUGUCGAGGGGGAUGAAGGCAUUCAGGUCCUCCUGAAUGUUUGACAGAGCCCUGGAGGAAGCACGGGCUAAGUUCGUGCCAGCAGCCGCGGUAAUACGAACUGUGCGAACGUUAUUCGGAAUCACUGGGCUUACAGGGUGCGUAGGCGGCUAUUCAGGUCAGGUGUGAAAGCCCUCGGCUCAACCGAGGAACUGCGCUUGAAACCGGAUGGCUCGAGUCAACUAGAGGUGCACGGAACUUCCAGUGGAGCGGUGAAAUGUGUUGAUAUUGGAAGGAACACCGGAGGCGAAAGCGGUGCACUGGGGUUGGUCUGACGCUGAGGCACGAAAGCCAGGGGAGCGAACGGGAUUAGAUACCCGGGUAGUCC
This 464-nucleotide ribosomal RNA is filed under the name uncultured Planctomyces sp. RNAcentral describes it as "bacterial SSU rRNA". It matches the Rfam family "Bacterial small subunit ribosomal RNA", at positions 335 to 796 of the family's 1533-position model. The record is from RNAcentral. Lineage: Bacteria; Pseudomonadati; Planctomycetota; Planctomycetia; Planctomycetales; Planctomycetaceae.